GACGAACCGUCCAAACGUUGUUCGGAAUUACUGGGUGUAAAGGGUUCGUAGGCGGUGUGGCAAGUCGGGAGUGAAAUCUCUGGGCUCAACCCAGAGGCCGCUUCCGAAACUGCUGUGCUUGAGUGUGGGAGAGGCGCGUGGAAUUGCAGGUGUAGCGGUGAAAUGCGUAGAUAUCUGCAGGAACACCCGUGGCGAAAGCGGCGCGCUGGACCACAACUGACGCUGAGGAACGAAAGCUAGGGGAGCAAACAGG
Molecule: ribosomal RNA, 253 nt
Filed under: uncultured bacterium
Lineage: Bacteria
Description: partial 16S ribosomal RNA
Rfam family: Bacterial small subunit ribosomal RNA
Source: RNAcentral